Molecule: ribosomal RNA, 447 nt
Filed under: uncultured bacterium
Lineage: Bacteria
Description: bacterial SSU rRNA
Rfam family: Bacterial small subunit ribosomal RNA
Source: RNAcentral
GACGAACGCNGGCGGCGUGCUUAACACAUGCAAGUCGAACGUGAUUUUUGUGGAAAUUCUUUCGGGAAUGGAAAUGAAAUGAAAGUGGCGAACGGGUGAGUAACACGUGAGCAACCUACCUUACACAGGGGGAUAGCCGUUGAAAACGACGAUUAAUACCGCAUGAGACCACAGAAUCGCAUGAUAUAGGGGUCAAAGAUUUAUCGGUGUAAGAAGGGCUCGCGUCUGAUUAGCUAGUUGGAAGGGUAAAGGCCUACCAAGGCGACGAUCAGUAGCCGGUCUGAGAGGAUGAACGGCCACAUUGGAACUGAGACACGGUCCAAACUCCUACGGGAGGCAGCAGUGGGGAAUAUUGCACAAUGGGGGGAACCCUGAUGCAGCGACGCCGCGUGAGCGAAGAAGGUUUUCGAAUCGUAAAGCUCUGUCCUAUGAGAAGAUAANGACGGU